CUAGACUAGCGGGGGCAGCCUCAGAGCGGAGAUGGGUCUCUGGACAGGCACGGUGGCUCACGCCUGUAAUCCCAGCACUCUGGGAGACCGAGGUGGGCGGAUCACCUGAGGCCAGGAGUUUGAGACCAGCUGGGCCAACAUGGAGAAACCCCAUCUCUACUAAAAAUACAAAAAAAUUAGCUGGGCUUGGUGGCACGUGCCUGUAAUCCCAGUUACCAGGUGGCUGAGGCAGGAGAAUCACUUGAACCCGGGAGGCGGGGGUUGCAGUGAGCCCAUAUUGUGCCAUUGCACUCCAGCCUGGGCAACAAGAGCGAAACUCUGUCUCAAAAAAUAAAUAAAUAAAUAAAUAAAUAAAUAGAUGGGUCUCCACGCUUUGUUGCCUUAGGCUGGUUUCCAACUCGUGAGCUCAAGUGAUCCUCCCACUUCAGCCUUCCAAAUAGGUGGGACUAUUUUAUUGCUCUUUGACCAUUUUAAUUGUUUUUGUAAACUGUCUGUUCAUAUCCUUUGCCCAUUAAAAAAAGGUAGAUCAUUUGUAUAUUUCUUAUUGAUGGUAGAAAUCCUGUCUGUGUUAUGGAUAAUAACUAUUCUUUGUCGUCUGCAUUUAAAAUAUUUUCUCUUUUUCACUUAUCUUUCAGCUUUUGAGACAAAAGUCAUGCUUUAUGGGAAAAUAUUUGAAACAUUUCUGUCUUUGCUAGGAACAAGCCAGGGAUGUUUACUAUUAAAACUAAGAUUUUAGGAGAGCUCCUGGCCACCCUAAAGCCUCCUUGAUUUCAUAUAUAUUCAUCUUACAAAGAGAAACGAUUGACAAUGUAUCAAAACUAUGGAGUUCAGCAACAUGACCAGAUGUCAGAUUAACAAAC
RNAcentral lists this long non-coding RNA (860 nucleotides) under Homo sapiens (human). RNAcentral's name for it is "HSALNT0189296". The record is from RNAcentral. Lineage: Eukaryota; Metazoa; Chordata; Mammalia; Primates; Hominidae.